This 494-nucleotide ribosomal RNA is filed under the name uncultured bacterium. RNAcentral describes it as "bacterial SSU rRNA". It matches the Rfam family "Bacterial small subunit ribosomal RNA", at positions 372 to 882 of the family's 1533-position model. The record is from RNAcentral.
UGGGGGAAACCCUGAUGCAGCAACGCCGCGUGAGUGAUGAAGGCCUUCGGGUUGUAAAGCUCUGUCUUCAGGGACGAUAAUGACGGUACCUGAGGAGGAAGCCACGGCUAACUACGUGCCAGCAGCCGCGGUAAUACGUAGGUGGCAAGCGUUGUCCGGAUUUACUGGGCGUAAAGGGAGCGUAGGCGGAUACUUAAGUGGGAUGUGAAAUACCUGGGCUUAACUUGGGUGCUGCAUUCCAAACUGGGUGUCUAGAGUGUUGGAGAGGAAAGUGGAAUUCCUAGUGUAGCGGUGAAAUGCGUAGAGAUUAGGAAGAACACCAGUGGCGAAGGCGACUUUCUGGACAAUAACUGACGCUGAGGCUCGAAAGCGUGGGGAGCAAACAGGAUUAGAUACCCUGGUAGUCCACGCCGUAAACGAUGGGUACUAGGUGUAGGGGGUAUCGACUCCCCCUGUGCCGCCGUUAACACAAUAAGUACCCCGCCUGGGGAGUA